This 253-nucleotide ribosomal RNA is filed under the name uncultured bacterium. Its description in RNAcentral is "partial 16S ribosomal RNA". It matches the Rfam family "Bacterial small subunit ribosomal RNA", at positions 524 to 776 of the family's 1533-position model. The record is from RNAcentral.
UACGUAGGGACCAAGCGUUGUUCGGAUUUACUGGGCGUAAAGGGCGCGUAGGCGGCGCGGGAAGUCAUCGGUGAAAGCUCAGGGCUCAACUCUGAGUCGGCCGGUGAUACUCUCGUGCUUGAGCACUGUAGAGGCAGGUGGAAUUCCGGGUGUAGCGGUGGAAUGCGUAGAGAUCCGGAAGAACACCGGUGGCGAAGGCGGCCUGCUGGGCAGUAGCUGACGCUGAUGCGCGACAGCGUGGGGAGCAAACAGG